AGAUGAACGCUGGCGGCGUGCCUAAUACAUGCAAGUCGAGCGAACAGACAAGGAGCUUGCUCCUUUGACGUUAGCGGCGGACGGGUGAGUAACACGUGGGUAACCUACCUAUAAGACUGGGAUAACUUCGGGAAACCGGAGCUAAUACCGGAUAAUAUUUCGAACCGCAUGGUUCGAUAGUGAAAGAUGGUUUUGCUAUCACUUAUAGAUGGACCCGCGCCGUAUUAGCUAGUUGGUAAGGUAACGGCUUACCAAGGCGACGAUACGUAGCCGACCUGAGAGGGUGAUCGGCCACACUGGAACUGAGACACGGUCCAGACUCCUACGGGAGGCAGCAGUAGGGAAUCUUCCGCAAUGGGCGAAAGCCUGACGGAGCAACGCCGCGUGAGUGAUGAAGGUCUUCGGAUCGUAAAACUCUGUUAUUAGGGAAGAACAUACGUGUAAGUAACUAUGCACGUCUUGACGGUACCUAAUCAGAAAGCCACGGCUAACUACGUGCCAGCAGCCGCGGUAAUACGUAGGUGGCAAGCGUUAUCCGGAAUUAUUGGGCGUAAAGCGCGCGUAGGCGGUUUUUUAAGUCUGAUGUGAAAGCCCACGGCUCAACCCGUGGGAGGGGUCAUUGGAAACUGGAAAACUUGAGUGCAGAAGAGGAAAGUGGGAAUUUCCAUGUGUAGCGGUGAAAUGCGCAGAGAUAUGGAGGAACACCAGUGGCGAAGGCGACUUUCUGGUCUGUAACUGACGCUGAUGUGCGAAAGCGUGGGGAUCAAACAGGAUUAGAUACCCUGGUAGUCCACGCCGUAAACGAUGAGUGCUAAGUGUUAGGGGGUUUCCGCCCCUUAGUGCUGCAGCUAACGCAUUAAGCACUCCGCCUGGGGAGUACGACCGCAAGGUUGAAACUCAAAGGAAUUGACGGGGACCCGCACAAGCGGUGGAGCAUGUGGUUUAAUUCGAAGCAACGCGAAGAACCUUACCAAAUCUUGACAUCCUUUGACAACUCUAGAGAUAGAGCCUUCCCCUUCGGGGGACAAAGUGACAGGUGGUGCAUGGUUGUCGUCAGCUCGUGUCGUGAGAUGUUGGGUUAAGUCCCGCAACGAGCGCAACCCUUAAGCUUAGUUGCCAUCAUUAAGUUGGGCACUCUAAGUUGACUGCCGGUGACAAACCGGAGGAAGGUGGGGAUGACGUCAAAUCAUCAUGCCCCUUAUGAUUUGGGCUACACACGUGCUACAAUGGACAAUACAAAGGGCAGCGAAACCGCGAGGUCAAGCAAAUCCCAUAAAGUUGUUCUCAGUUCGGAUUGUAGUCUGCAACUCGACUACAUGAAGCUGGAAUCGCUAGUAAUCGUAGAUCAGCAUGCUACGGUGAAUACGUUCCCGGGUCUUG
RNAcentral lists this ribosomal RNA (1380 nucleotides) under uncultured Staphylococcus sp. Its description in RNAcentral is "bacterial SSU rRNA". It matches the Rfam family "Bacterial small subunit ribosomal RNA", at positions 26 to 1383 of the family's 1533-position model. The record is from RNAcentral. Lineage: Bacteria; Bacillati; Bacillota; Bacilli; Caryophanales; Staphylococcaceae.